This 214-nucleotide long non-coding RNA is filed under the name Mytilus galloprovincialis (Mediterranean mussel). Lineage: Eukaryota; Metazoa; Mollusca; Bivalvia; Mytilida; Mytilidae. The record is from RNAcentral.
GCACCGGACGACAAUUCAGGUAUCUCAUGAAAACAUGUCUCUCCUGAGCUGAGACAGAGAAUACCAUAUUAGUAAACUACUGCGUGAUGAUGACCUUUACUUAAAAGUAUCGGUUUAAAUCGUUCUUCUUCAUUUAUUAAAUGAAAAAUGAAUUUUGUGAAGUAUAUACUAGUAUACUUUUAUUAAUGAAGAUCAAAAUGUGAAACAUGCAAAC